Molecule: ribosomal RNA, 573 nt
Filed under: Triticum aestivum (bread wheat)
Lineage: Eukaryota; Viridiplantae; Streptophyta; Magnoliopsida; Poales; Poaceae
Description: partial small subunit ribosomal RNA
Source: RNAcentral
AUGGCUGCGACCUGCGAGUGCUACGCCCAGCACAUGCGAGACGACAUUGCAGAAAACCUCUACCACCUGCCCUAUGUCAUGCCCCGGCGAAUAGCUGUCAUUGGAGAUGAAGUCUACUUCACACUUCGGUCCGCUCACAAAAUCGUCAAGUACAACCUGCCAAACAACUGCCUAUCCAUGAUUAACCCGCCGCCACACACUAGGAGCCCAAUUGCUCUCAUGGUGAUGGAGGACAGUUCGCUGGGGUUUGCCUGCACUGAGAGUUCUACUCUUUAUCUGUGGUCAAGGAAGGUGAAUUCAGAAGCAGCUGCUGAAUGGGUAAAAUGCAGGAGCAUCGAGCUGGAGACAAUUGUGCCCGUCGUGGAUCCAGAUUACCAACCAUUUGUGGUUGGUUCCGCAGAGGGUGUGGGUGUCAUCUUCAUCAACACAGAUGCUGGCUUAUUCACUCUAGAGCUCAAGUCAGGGCGAGUCAGGAAGGUUGACGAGCCCGCACACUACUUUAGCGUCCUGCCCUACAUGAGCUUCUACACUCCAGAUCGUGGCAUAUUGUUGGCGCUAUCGAAGACCCACUGA